Molecule: long non-coding RNA, 2960 nt
Organism: Equus caballus (horse)
Lineage: Eukaryota; Metazoa; Chordata; Mammalia; Perissodactyla; Equidae
Source: Ensembl
UUUUCUCCCCAAAGCCCCCCGGUACAUAGUUGUGUAUUCUUCGUUGUGGGUUCCUCUAGUUGUGGCAUGUGGGACGCUGCCUCAGCGUGGUCUGACGAGCAGUGCCAUGUCCGCGCCCAGGAUUCGAACCGACGAAACACUGGGCCGCCUGCAGCGGAGCGUGCGAACUUAACCACUCGGCCACGGGGCCAGCCCCUAGCUAACAACAUUUAUUACGUCUUGACAUCAUGUUGCUGCCUUCAAAAAAAAGAAAUCGCAUCCUUGACUCCACAUCCCUUUCUAUAGCUCGUCUCUUACUCUUUUCCUUCACAACUUACUCAUUGCCUCCAUGACCUUUUCUCUCAUUCAUUCCUUGAGGCAACUCCUACCACCCUCUUACUCCUCAUACAUUACUCAAUGACUCUACAACUGUUAAAUCUAAAGGAUAUUUUAUGACCUUGGCAAGCUUGCAUUUCAUGCUGUUGAUCAGCCUGUCCUGGAAAUGUUCCCCUUCUUUAGAGCCCGUGGAUUCUUUUUUCCUGGUUCUCCUAUGUUUAUAGCAACUCAAGGGCUUCUUGCCUUUAUGACGACAUUAAUGUUGCUAUAUCUCAGAGUCUAUAUUUGUGCCUUAGCUCUUCUCAAUCUAUUCUUCCUAAUCUAUAACUGACCCACCUUUGCAAUAACUUAAAACCAUGUCUCUAUAGAAGACAUCUCUCUUGAACUCCAGCCCUAUUGCACAUUGUGGCUUGAAUAAGCCAAGAAUUCUUCAAUGGUCUGAAAUUAACACGUCCUUUAGUGGUACCUUCUCAAGAAGUGACACUGGCCUGGAAGAAUACUAAAUUUCUACCUUUUCCAUACCACUCAUACAAAGCAGUGCUAAAUUUAAUUCCUAAAAACCUCUUGACUCUCCGAUAUACUUCAUGCUCACCUCCAACACUGUAAUAAUGGACCACUUCAUUUCUCACCAAAUGACUAUGGGGGCAUUCCUAAUGUGGGCAUUGUUAAACUAUGUUCUUAGAACUUUGGGUACUUCCUGGAUUGCUGAGGGAAGGGAGAAGGGAGGCAGAACAAUCAAGUCUUAAGUUCCUCAUCCCUAUCUCAAGCAAGAUCGGAAAUUGAUGGGAAAAUAAAGCCCAUGGAGAAACAGAAGACUUCCUGUCAUUCUCUGUCCUUAGACCCACGAGCAAUAGUGACUCUCAGAUGGAGCAGGAAGAAGGAAGACAGACAACAGAGUCGUGAUAAAUGGGAAACUGCAGCAACUCAAUAAAGACAAGACCACCAAUGACUCAAAUCCUGCAGGAAUGAAGUGCUGUGUCACCCGACAGGAAUUACCGAGAAGCAACAAGAAGAAUUUUUAAAAACUACAUUCUCCUUUAGCUAUGUAACAAGGAGACAGAUCGAAACCUCUUAGGCAAAUGGAGGAAACGCUGCCACGCGCAGUGGAAACAAGCAGAUGGGUUUGGGGAGGACCAGGACAGCAAACACUGAGGCUUCUGGUAACAGACAAACCAGCAACCAACACUUCUCACAGAUGAAAGAAACAUCCUGAAGCAUAACCCCUAAGGUCUCUCUUCAUAAGAGCAGAAAUAGUGUACAUAUGCUGGAAUCUGAAAUGUUCCUGCUCAAGUUUAGACCCUGAGAAGCAUAGUAAAUAGAGCUAAAUAAAAGUCAGACUGACGAGUCCUGUUUUUCUGAAGCAGUCUGCCUCAGUGGCUUCAAGGGAGAAGGAAGCCAUUGCAUCGAGAAACAUCCCAGAACUUCCCAACGCCAUUAGAUGGCAAGAAGUAAAGAUCACAUGAUUUCACACACAAAACCCUUGGCAGUAAAGGAAAUUCCUGCAAACCAACCUUCCUUUGAACAAAUAUGUAGGAAAUAUCUGAGAGGGGAAAAAUACUCACCUAUGACUUAAAUGAUUCAUCAAAAAGGAAACAGCAGAAAAUCUUCACGGCUGCACUAUAAGAAAAGGAAGAAAACCUAGAAGAUGAAAAUUGUGGCGAAAUUUCAUUGGGGGUUAAAAAACAAUCAACCAAGCUAUUGAUUCUCUGAAACAAAGCACAAAAGCACAAAAUGCAACAGUUGCAGAAAGUGAUUUCCAACAGACAUAAUAACUUAACAAGGAGUAGGCGUUGUUCAGGGUAGAGGUGUAAGAUAAAUAUACAAUAAAGCCAUUAGAGAAAUUAAGGUAAACUUGAAAGGACUGCAAGAAGAAAAAGACAAUACACAGUCAUGAUCAUAAAAUACAGAAACGAAAAAAGAUACAGCAAACAAAAUAAAACAAUAAUGUUAAAUACAGAAAUGCUUAGAAGAAUUAAAGAGAAAAUUCUGGCUAUAGAAUAGAGAAAAAGGAUAUCACACAUUUAGAAAACUGAAUAGCCAAAUUUUAAAAAUCUGAAAUAAUAAUUUUAUUACUGCAUUACAAACUGCCCUAAAAUGUAGUGGCUUAAAACAAGAGCCAUUUUACUUGCUUCGAUUCUGUGGAUGAGGAAGGGCUGUGCUGCACACUUCGUUUGCUCCCUGUCCUGUCAACUGCAAUCGACUGGUAUCUCAGUUGGGUUAGAAGUUCCAAGAGCAUUUGGCUCUUACACGUGCCGUAUCUUUCUACGUGGCUAACGUGGGCUUCAUCCCAGGCGAGGCUGACUUAUCCAUAGCGCCUGGCUUCCACGAGAGAGUUCCAUGAGGGGUGAAAGUAGAAGCUGCAGAUUUCUUGAGGCCUGGCCCCAGAAGUAGUACAGCAUCUCUUCCAUCACAUUCUGUUGGUCAAAGACAGACACAGAGCCAGCCCAGAUGCAACAAGAAGGAUAAUAUUCCCACCACUCAAUUUUGGCACAGGAUGGCAAAGAGUUUACAGCCAUCUUUAAUCUACUACUCAACAAGUAUAUAAUUGAAGAAAAUAAUACUGGAAAUAAAAGAAAAUUUAAAUAACAUGUUGAAAGUACACCCUGCGUUCCAGGAAAAUCUAAAACUAAAUAAUUGCCAUCAAA